Molecule: ribosomal RNA, 2903 nt
Filed under: Klebsiella pneumoniae
Lineage: Bacteria; Pseudomonadati; Pseudomonadota; Gammaproteobacteria; Enterobacterales; Enterobacteriaceae
Description: 23S ribosomal RNA
Rfam family: Bacterial large subunit ribosomal RNA
Source: RNAcentral
GGUUAAGCGACUAAGCGUACACGGUGGAUGCCCUGGCAGUCAGAGGCGAUGAAGGACGUGCUAAUCUGCGAAAAGCGUCGGUAAGGUGAUAUGAACCGUUAUAACCGGCGAUGUCCGAAUGGGGAAACCCAGUGCAAUUCGUUGCACUAUCGUUAACUGAAUACAUAGGUUAACGAGGCGAACCGGGGGAACUGAAACAUCUAAGUACCCCGAGGAAAAGAAAUCAACCGAGAUUCCCCCAGUAGCGGCGAGCGAACGGGGAGCAGCCCAGAGUCUGAAUCAGCUUGUGUGUUAGUGGAACGGUCUGGAAAGUCCGACGGUACAGGGUGAUAGUCCCGUACACCAAAAUGCACAGGUUGUGAACUCGAAGAGUAGGGCGGGACACGUGGUAUCCUGUCUGAAUAUGGGGGGGACCAUCCUCCAAGGCUAAAUACUCCUGACUGACCGAUAGUGAACCAGUACCGUGAGGGAAAGGCGAAAAGAACCCCGGCGAGGGGAGUGAAAAAGAACCUGAAACCGUGUACGUACAAGCAGUGGGAGCACCUUCGGGUGUGACUGCGUACCUUUUGUAUAAUGGGUCAGCGACUUAUAUUCUGUAGCAAGGUUAACCGUAUAGGGGAGCCGCAGGGAAACCGAGUCUUAACUGGGCGUUAAGUUGCAGGGUAUAGACCCGAAACCCGGUGAUCUAGCCAUGGGCAGGUUGAAGGUUGGGUAACACUAACUGGAGGACCGAACCGACUAAUGUUGAAAAAUUAGCGGAUGACUUGUGGCUGGGGGUGAAAGGCCAAUCAAACCGGGAGAUAGCUGGUUCUCCCCGAAAGCUAUUUAGGUAGCGCCUCGUGAACUCAUCUUCGGGGGUAGAGCACUGUUUCGGCUAGGGGGUCAUCCCGACUUACCAACCCGAUGCAAACUACGAAUACCGAAGAAUGUUAUCACGGGAGACACACGGCGGGUGCUAACGUCCGUCGUGAAGAGGGAAACAACCCAGACCGCCAGCUAAGGUCCCAAAGUCAUGGUUAAGUGGGAAACGAUGUGGGAAGGCACAGACAGCCAGGAUGUUGGCUUAGAAGCAGCCAUCAUUUAAAGAAAGCGUAAUAGCUCACUGGUCGAGUCGGCCUGCGCGGAAGAUGUAACGGGGCUAAACCAUGCACCGAAGCUGCGGCAGCGACACUAUGUGUUGUUGGGUAGGGGAGCGUUCUGUAAGCCUGCGAAGGUGUGCUGUGAGGCAUGCUGGAGGUAUCAGAAGUGCGAAUGCUGACAUAAGUAACGAUAAAGCGGGUGAAAAGCCCGCUCGCCGGAAGACCAAGGGUUCCUGUCCAACGUUAAUCGGGGCAGGGUGAGUCGACCCCUAAGGCGAGGCCGAAAGGCGUAGUCGAUGGGAAACAGGUUAAUAUUCCUGUACUUGGUGUUACUGCGAAGGGGGGACGGAGAAGGCUAUGUUAGCCGGGCGACGGUUGUCCCGGUUUAAGCAUGUAGGCUGAUUGUCCAGGCAAAUCCGGAUAAUCAAGGCUGAGGUGUGAUGACGAGGCACUACGGUGCUGAAGUAACAAAUGCCCUGCUUCCAGGAAAAGCCUCUAAGCAUCAGGUAACAUUAAAUCGUACCCCAAACCGACACAGGUGGUCAGGUAGAGAAUACCAAGGCGCUUGAGAGAACUCGGGUGAAGGAACUAGGCAAAAUGGUGCCGUAACUUCGGGAGAAGGCACGCUGGUGUGUAGGUGAAGUCCCUGCGGAUGGAGCUGAGACCAGUCGAAGAUACCAGCUGGCUGCAACUGUUUAUUAAAAACACAGCACUGUGCAAACACGAAAGUGGACGUAUACGGUGUGACGCCUGCCCGGUGCCGGAAGGUUAAUUGAUGGGGUUAUCCGUAAGGAGAAGCUCUUGAUCGAAGCCCCGGUAAACGGCGGCCGUAACUAUAACGGUCCUAAGGUAGCGAAAUUCCUUGUCGGGUAAGUUCCGACCUGCACGAAUGGCGUAAUGAUGGCCAGGCUGUCUCCACCCGAGACUCAGUGAAAUUGAACUCGCUGUGAAGAUGCAGUGUACCCGCGGCAAGACGGAAAGACCCCGUGAACCUUUACUAUAGCUUGACACUGAACAUUGAGCCUUGAUGUGUAGGAUAGGUGGGAGGCUUUGAAGCGUGGACGCCAGUCUGCGUGGAGCCAACCUUGAAAUACCACCCUUUAAUGUUUGAUGUUCUAACGUUGGCCCCUGACCGGGGUUGCGGACAGUGUCUGGUGGGUAGUUUGACUGGGGCGGUCUCCUCCCAAAGCGUAACGGAGGAGCACGAAGGUUAGCUAAUCCUGGUCGGACAUCAGGAGGUUAGUGCAAUGGCAUAAGCUAGCUUGACUGCGAGCGUGACGGCGCGAGCAGGUGCGAAAGCAGGUCAUAGUGAUCCGGUGGUUCUGAAUGGAAGGGCCAUCGCUCAACGGAUAAAAGGUACUCCGGGGAUAACAGGCUGAUACCGCCCAAGAGUUCAUAUCGACGGCGGUGUUUGGCACCUCGAUGUCGGCUCAUCACAUCCUGGGGCUGAAGUAGGUCCCAAGGGUAUGGCUGUUCGCCAUUUAAAGUGGUACGCGAGCUGGGUUUAGAACGUCGUGAGACAGUUCGGUCCCUAUCUGCCGUGGGCGCUGGAGAAUUGAGGGGGGCUGCUCCUAGUACGAGAGGACCGGAGUGGACGCAUCACUGGUGUUCGGGUUGUCAUGCCAAUGGCACUGCCCGGUAGCUAAAUGCGGAAGAGAUAAGUGCUGAAAGCAUCUAAGCACGAAACUUGCCCCGAGAUGAGUUCUCCCUGAGACUUUAAGUCUCCUGAAGGAACGUUGAAGACGACGACGUUGAUAGGCCGGGUGUGUAAGCGCAGCGAUGCGUUGAGCUAACCGGUACUAAUGAACCGUGAGGCUUAACCUU